UCAUAAUGUAAUUUCUAAAAGAUGGAACAGAGCUAGAGACCCACACAGAAUAGAACUACAGAUCAACCCCGUAAAAACCUUAUUUUCAUCUUCCCCAAUCCUCUUGGUCGAGAACCUCAUGGUUCGUCAGCCUGCAACUACGACGAUGGUGACACAGCCACUUAUUCCUCCCGUGAUACAAGCUUCAUGAACCAACCAUGGCUGCCCCCUUUUCCUGACAACGGACGAGGAAGCGACGCAGACUCUUCUCCCUUCUCCCGCGACUAUGUCAACGGUGACAACGUUAAUUCCAACACAAUCCUUCUUCUUUCGCUUCCCCUCCCGUCAGUUAGUGUUCGGGAACUACAUCUAUUUUGCUGUGCAGUUUCAUCUCCGCUGAGCCCAGCACCCCGCCGCUGUCAAUUUUCGAUGGCCAAUUGCUCCAGGAGCAAUAUCAGAGUCCAACUCCGAUGGAUAUCAUGGAAACGACGGAGACAAAGGUUGCAGAAACAACAUUUUUACAAGAUGGGAGAAAGGUAAAAUGGUUCUAUUGGAUAAAUUACUUUCCAAACUAAAGGAACGGGAUUCCACGGUACUUAAAUUUACACAGGCUGUUAGAUAUACUUGAAGAUUAUUUAAUGUUUCAAGGAUACCAACAUUCCCGCAUAGAAGACAAUAUUGAUGGAGAACAUCGUCAUGCUUCCAUUGCUGUUUUUGUUGCCAUUAAUCUUGCUACUGCUGACAUUGACAUUCUUUAUGACAGUGACUGGUUGACCUAUAAGCUCAAGAUCAGGCUCAUAGGAUUCGCCAGAAGAAAGAAGUUGAAGUUUACAUAUUCUGCUCAGAGUGAAAGUUCUUUGUUAGAGUGACGUGUUACAUGCUCAAAACCACAAGUUCUAGCUCAGGCUUGGCUAUUCAAUAUUUGCUCACAACAAAUAUCAUCGAAUGAAGAAGAACCUUUGGUGUUUAAAAAGAAAAAAAAGCUAGCAUCGGAAAAGCCGAGACAACGUGAAUCAUUUGAUCAAGAAGAAAUCAACGGCACAAAUGACAUUACAUCAGCAGAUGAAGUACAAAUUUUGAUUCAAACCUUGAGGAACACAUCUAAGAGAACCAAAGUUAGCAAUACAAACACCACAAGGAAGCCAAAAAGAUUAACAAGACAAAAAAAAAAUAGAGAGUUAUUCUAUGUGUAGCUUAUAUUUCAUUUCCUACAAUUUACAUUAUGUAUUUGAUUAUUUUAUUUCAAAAUCAAAUGCUUAUUUUAAUUA
This is a long non-coding RNA of Lotus japonicus, 1247 nucleotides long. RefSeq lists it as uncharacterized. The transcript is spliced from 6 exons. The record is from RefSeq and is a predicted model, not a curated record. NCBI's taxonomy places the organism in Eukaryota, Viridiplantae, Streptophyta, Magnoliopsida, Fabales, Fabaceae.